UACAGAGGUCCCGAGCGUUGUUCGGAUUCAUUGGGCGUAAAGGGUGCGUAGGCGGCGGGGCAAGUCUGAUGUGAAAUCCCGGGGCUCAACCCCGGAACUGCAUUGGAUACUGCCUUGCUUGAGUACUGGAGAGGAGACUGGAAUUUACGGUGUAGCAGUGAAAUGCGUAGAUAUCGUAAGGAAGGCCAGUGGCGAAGGCGGCCUGCUGGGCUAUGGCUGACACUGAGGCGCGACAGCGUGGGGAGCAAACAGG
RNAcentral lists this ribosomal RNA (253 nucleotides) under uncultured bacterium. RNAcentral's name for it is "partial 16S ribosomal RNA". It matches the Rfam family "Bacterial small subunit ribosomal RNA", at positions 524 to 776 of the family's 1533-position model. The record is from RNAcentral.